This 301-nucleotide ribosomal RNA is filed under the name uncultured bacterium. RNAcentral's name for it is "partial 16S ribosomal RNA". It matches the Rfam family "Bacterial small subunit ribosomal RNA", at positions 509 to 807 of the family's 1533-position model. The record is from RNAcentral.
CAGUAGCCGCGGUAAUACGAAGGGUGCAAGCGUUAAUCGGAAUUACUGGGCGUAAAGCGUGCGUAGGCUGUUUGUUAAGUCUGUUGUGAAAUCCCCGGGCUCAACCUGGGAAUGGCAAUGGAUACUGGCAAGCUAGAGUGUGUCAGAGGAUGGUGGAAUUCCCGGCGUAGCGGUGAAAUGCGUAGAGAUCGGGAGGAACAUCAGUGGCGAAGGCGGCCAUCUGGGACAACACUGACGCUGAGGCACGAAAGCGUGGGGAGCAAACAGGAUUAGAGACCCCUGUAGUCCCUGUCUCUUAUAC